CGAUGACGUCGCCGGCCUCGUCCAGCUCCAUGUCGCCCUCCGUCGCCAGGAUGCGCUGCACGGUCUGCAGGACGUUGGUUGCCAUGGUAACAUCGCCGCAGACAAACAUGUGGCCCCGCUCGAGGCACAGCACGCGGUGCACCUCCGCAGCCAGCUCCGUCCUCAGGAUGUCCUGCACGUAGGUUACCAUUGCGCCCUCAGGGUCUCACACCUUGGGGUUGUCAGGUUCCCGGGAGAAGGCGGUGAGGACUCGGCCAAACACCCCGCGCUGCUGGGCGUUCUGCACCUCGUCGCGGUAGAGAUGGUCAAGUUGGGAGCAUCGGCAGCCGAACACCAAAGUCAUGGGAGUGGGCUGCAGCCCUGCAAGCAACCCCGCGCUUGGGAAGGCUCUUCUCCGGGGCACAGUGCUAGUGGGGCCUCCCCACAGGCCACCGUCGCCCAGCCUGGCAGCCCAGCGUUUUGGGCUGAAACCACCAUUACUUUGGCUGUUUCAUCUCUAAGAGAGUGUAGAAUGCUUUCACAGAGACCCUGCACAGCCCUGAUUUACAGAGGGAAGGGAAGCGCGGGUGAGGUGGUGGCCCCUGGUGGAGCUGCGCUAGAAUGCGCGGCUUCGGACUCAGAAUUCCAUGCCCUUUGCAUUGUGUGACAUCGCAGUCCCCUUCCCCGCUCCCACUUCAUAUUCUCCCAUACUUAUAACUCUCCUCCCAGUCACAGCCCUCUUCUUUUGAUUGACAGACCACCCUGGGCACCCCAUGCUCAAUAUGAACACCUUGUAGCAUCCUUAGGUCUUGGACAGACCUCGGUCAGCUCUGGCACAGUCAAGAAUCCACCUUGGGCAGUUCUUCUUUGAGUCUUAGCCCUAAUCCCUUUGAAAAUUCUAUUUUCCUUUGUCCUCAAUCCAGUCAACACCUACUAUGUACCAGGCACCAGGAAGCCAGAAGCUCAGGGCCCAGCCCUUGCCUUUGGUACCUGCCCUCCCCUUGGUCUCAUGAGCGUCUUUUCAGCUUUGUGGACUUUGUUUCCUGCCCUCUCUUUCCUAUUUCCUGCCUUCCAGCCCCACCCCUCUGUCCCUAGAUUGUGUGACUCCCUUCAGGCAGUCCUUUAGUCCCCAGCCUCACCUUUGCUCUCAAUGUCAUGCAGCCGCUCCUGCCAGAAUCCCCGGAAGGGGGCAAUGCCAGUGCCUGGACCCACCAGGAUGCAGGGCAAGCUGGGAUCGGGUGGCAGCCGGAAGGAGGGAGCCCUGGCAGGAGAGACACUCCAUCAGGUCCCCUUUGCCUUUCCUGCUCCACCAUUCUCACCAUGCAGGGUGGGUGGAGCAAGGAGGACCCAAGUUCUUCC
Molecule: long non-coding RNA, 1338 nt
Filed under: Homo sapiens (human)
Lineage: Eukaryota; Metazoa; Chordata; Mammalia; Primates; Hominidae
Description: non-protein coding lnc-ATG9B-2:11
Source: RNAcentral